ACAUUGUCACAGCAACAAAGGAAUGUUUGGUAACAAAGGCAGUGACCUCACAGAAGCUGGUCUUAACCCACCUUCCUGAAGCUCAGGGCAGAUCAGAGCCAGCCAAGAGAGAACUGGGAGGCAAGGGAAGACCAUAGUUGUACUUUGCCUUAGAGGAGCUGUGACUACUACAAAAUUACUGUCCUGGUUGAAUGUGAAAACUGUGUCCCAUCCAUCAUUUCACUGACACUGUCCUACCUCCAAGACCCCAUCCCCUGUGGGAGGUUGGCCCACCCCAC
This 278-nucleotide long non-coding RNA is filed under the name Monodelphis domestica (gray short-tailed opossum). Its description in RNAcentral is "lncRNA (ENSMODG00000032221.2)". Lineage: Eukaryota; Metazoa; Chordata; Mammalia; Didelphimorphia; Didelphidae. The record is from RNAcentral.